CUUGAGAGAGACUACCUCUCCUCCUCGAUUCGUUUUUUACCGUUGCGUGCCUGAAAAUCGUGCCUUUUUAAACACUUUUUAUCGGGUCGUCGCUGCUAACAGACCUGCGCGAAGAAGUUCACGGAUUUUGCAGUGCAAAAUCUUCGAAGGCUGGAACUGCUGCUGCUCUCCGACUGAUUCUGCCUUGAGCCGCUCCUGUUGAGAAGGACUCGGGAGGACUUACUUACUGUCACGUCACGGCAGUGGGUCAACGUCCACCUGCGGUGAUGACUGCAUCCUUGCUGCGACUCCUCCUUCCUGCAGCGGACAGCGGCGUCGAGACGGCGCCUGUCCUCAAAACGACCAACAAACCUGGCCUGGUUCACCACGCGUCGACGGGGUCUGGCGUGGGGCGAUGAUGCUGUACCAGACAGCACGGCAUCUGGCACUGCAGCUGACGUCAUCAACUGCUGAUGUGGCGGCGUCCAGCCGCCCUGCCUCACGACUACGCGCGAGACGGCGUCGUGGCGUUUGCGGUGCUGAUUGCGUGGGGCGAGGUCACCACUUCCCACAAGGAAGCACUCGUCUAUUCCCAUCACUGUUAGGUACACAAUCGUUGCGAACCGCACUACGUCUAGCUCACUCUGGUGUAACCUUCGCACCUGACUUAAGUAUAGGUGUCCGGGUCUUAAUCGAUAACUUAAUCACUAUGUGCGUACUUGUACUCUUGCAAAUACAAGUGUCUGCAGGCAAUACAACUUGUGUACUUGUCGCGGAACACUAUGACGUCACCGUUAAAACAAAAAUAUCUUAAAUUAACCUUAAAAUUCCUAGCUUAACAUAUAACAUUCUCAUUAUUAACAUCAUUGUUAGAGAAAAAAAAAAAAAUAAA
This is a long non-coding RNA of Bacillus rossius redtenbacheri, 871 nucleotides long. RefSeq lists it as uncharacterized. The transcript is spliced from 2 exons. The record is from RefSeq and is a predicted model, not a curated record. Lineage: Eukaryota; Metazoa; Arthropoda; Insecta; Phasmatodea; Bacillidae.